This is a long non-coding RNA of Polypterus senegalus (gray bichir), 385 nucleotides long. RefSeq lists it as uncharacterized. The record is from RefSeq and is a predicted model, not a curated record. Lineage: Eukaryota; Metazoa; Chordata; Cladistia; Polypteriformes; Polypteridae. The transcript is spliced from 6 exons.
GGCCAUUCAUAUUGGCAAAAUAUAAAAAGGAAAUAGGAAAGGCAUAUUGCAGGAUCUCUUUUUUAUAUGCCUUGAAAAAGAUUUUAGAAGAGUGGAUGUUAGCUCAGAAUCAGACUCAGAUUCUGAAAUUUUUGUUACAAGUAGGAGCACAAUUGAAUUCAAUCAGGCUGACACUGUGGUUUUUGAAGACUGUAGCCAAAGUACACCCAAACACAAACUAGAAGAUGUAGUAGAUGCAUCCAGACAUUCAUCAACGAUUCAAGCUGGACAGAUAGUAAUAUCUGAUACUGAGGAUACUCUGGAUCUACCUGAAUACAAUGUGACUAAGUCCACUUACUACAGAGAGGAGGUAAACAUCACACUACCUGAUAUCAUUGCAAAGAUG